This 902-nucleotide ribosomal RNA is filed under the name uncultured bacterium. RNAcentral describes it as "bacterial SSU rRNA". It matches the Rfam family "Bacterial small subunit ribosomal RNA", at positions 66 to 954 of the family's 1533-position model. The record is from RNAcentral.
ACGCGAAAGUCCUUCGGGAUGAGUAAAGUGGCGCACGGGUGAGUAACACGUAGGUGACCUGCCUUUUAGAGGGGAAUAACCAGAAGAAAUUUUGGCUAAUGCCGCAUACGAAGUACAAAUCUAAGAGUAGUACUUGAAAGGAUGCCUCUGUAUAUGCAUUCACUAAAAGAUGGGCCUGCGGUACAUUAGCUUGUUGGUGGGGUAAAGGCCUACCAAGGCAACGAUGUAUAUCCGGUCUGAGAGGAUGAUCGGACACACUGGAACUGAGACACGGUCCAGACUCCUACGGGAGGCAGCAGUGGGGAAUAUUGCGCAAUGGGGGAAACCCUGACGCAGCAACGCCGCGUGGGUGAGGAAGGACUUCGGUCUGUAAAGCUCUGUUAAUGUGGAAAAAUGGUAGCUGGUCUAAUAGGCCGGCUAUUUGAUGGUACACAUAGAGGAAGCACCGGCUAACUUCGUGCCAGCAGCCGCGGUAAUACGAAGGGUGCAAGCGUUGUUCGGAUUUAUUGGGCGUAAAGCGCGCGUAGGCGGACCUGUAAGUCAGAUGUGAAAUCUCGGGGGCUCAACCUCGAAACUGCGUCUGAAACUGCAGGUCUAGAAUCUUGGAGGGGGAAGGGGAAUUUCGCAUGUAGGGGUAAAAUCCGUAGAUAUGCGAAGGAACACCAGAGGCGAAGGCGCCUUCCUGGACAAGUAUUGACGCUGAGGCGCGAAAGCGUGGGGAUCAAACAGGAUUAGAUACCCUGGUAGUCCACGCUGUAAACGAUGAAUACUAGUAUUGGAGGAUUUGACCCCUACAGUGCCGUAGCUAACGCGUUAAGUAUUCCGCCUGGGAAGUACGUCGCAGACUAAACUCAANGAAUGACGGGGCCCGCACAGCGGUGGAUUAUUGUGGUUUAAUUCGA